Molecule: long non-coding RNA, 771 nt
Organism: Rosa rugosa (rugosa rose)
Lineage: Eukaryota; Viridiplantae; Streptophyta; Magnoliopsida; Rosales; Rosaceae
Exons: 2
Source: RefSeq, a predicted model, not a curated record
CAUUUCUUUCUUUCUUCUUGCCUUCUUUCUUUUCUCUUUGUUCUCUCCCUUCUUCUCCAGACUCCAGAGGAUUUUCAAGUACACCUUCUUCCAAAGUUUCAAUCUUGCAGAAUAUUAUUUGUCGAUGAAUCAUUAUAAAAAUUAAUGGCUAAAGCCUAAAUAUAUGGAUUUCUUCGAUCAGGCUGAUCCCAUGAUUUUUCCCUCUCCUCUGCUUCACCUUCCUCAUCGGCGCUCGCCGCCAUCAAUUCAACUCUCACAGCAACAAAAACCCUUAAUUGGAGUUGGAGAAGAUGAAAAGACGAAAAAGAGGGAGGCGGCUCUUCUUCUUAAUGAAUUGUGCAUGUGUUCUACAUCAAAUGAUUCAAAUUUCAAAUUCAAAUUCAUUCCAAGAGGACGAGGUCAGCCCCUUCUGCAUCGGAAGCCAAAUUGGAGGAAUUGACGCUGCAGUACCAAACCAAUGAUUGCAGAUGCUGAUUGUGGACUAUUUAUGCCCUUUGGAUUUUGAGUGGACGGUUAGGAUUAGAAGUCGAGGAGAAACAAGGCUGGAAAGAGACAUGGAGAGGAUCCGGAUCAUUGAACAAAUGUAUUAAAAACAACACACAUAUAUUGAGUUACUGAAAUAUCUUAAUUACACAUUUGUAUUAAAAACGACACACACACAUAUAUUGUGUUACUGCAAUAUCUUAAUUACACAUUUGUAUUAAAAACGACACACACACAUAUAUUGUGUUACUGCAAUAUCUUAAUUACACAUUUGUCCAGGUUAUGUCA